UACAUGGUACAACAUUUAUGACUGAACCAGGUCAGAAUCGGAAGAUAGCAGCCUUAAGGUCCUCUAAGUGUGUGUACCUUUUUAUU
RNAcentral lists this signal recognition particle RNA (86 nucleotides) under Firmicutes bacterium CAG:822. RNAcentral's name for it is "Bacterial small signal recognition particle RNA". It matches the Rfam family "Bacterial small signal recognition particle RNA". From Rfam's summary of the family: The signal recognition particle (SRP) is a universally conserved ribonucleoprotein involved in the co-translational targeting of proteins to membranes. Archaeal SRP consists of a 7S RNA and homologues of the eukaryotic SRP19 and SRP54 proteins. In most bacteria, the SRP consists of a 4.5S RNA and the Ffh protein (a homologue of the eukaryotic SRP54 protein). The record is from Rfam by way of RNAcentral. Lineage: Bacteria; Bacillati; Bacillota.